CGGCACCAGGUGACGCAGGGGCCGCGCCGGAGCCUGCCGCCCGCCCUCUACCCGUGUUUAUUUGUAUGUUGAGCCCUUCUUUCUGGCACUUUCUCUCCCGGUCUCCUAGCUGUCCGUUUGAUGGAGCUUAUGGUUAUGUGAAAACGAAAUAAAAUCCCGGCGCUCGGCAGCUAGUCGUGUCGGUGCGGAGUUGUUAGAGCCGCCGGGGCGCGGGGCUGGCAGAGUCAGGUGCAGCUCGCCAGCCGUGUGUGCGCGCCGCUCUGCUCUUCCUGCAGCCUUGCUGCCGUUAAAUAAGGAAUAAAAACGCUUUGAAGGCAAAAGCCGCGGUGUAAUGGCAGCUACAGCUUUAGCAGGGGGCACGCGUUGUGCCAGAGCGAGGACGUGCCGCCUCUUUCUGUGGGACUGCGGCAUUGAGAGAUGUGCCCGAUUCCUUUUUCCCAACUGAACGGGCUGCUGCUCCGCGGCUGCCAGCGCCGCGUGUGCUGGGAGUCGCCGUGCCGGGUAACUGUGUGGCUUUGAGAGCUCGGUGCGGCUGCAGAGCGAAACAAACCGGGGCGAGGACGGGGAUCUGAGCUCCAGCGAGGAAGGAAGGCGGGAAGAUCGGGGCUGCGAUAAACAGCGCUGAAAAAUGGCAGGAGAACAAUGUUUACUUUUGAAUAUAUGGCCCUCUGCCAGCCUGGCGCUGGUUUUUAGGUUAACAGAGGUUGGAGGAAGGGCCAGACCGAGGCGUGGCUAGCUGCUGUCAAGGAUAAAAAAGUCUGCAAAUUGCUGUCCUCAGCUUUUUUUCCUCUCCUCCACCCCCAGCCCCCCCCCGACGGAAAAAAGGCAGCGCUUGCUCUUAGGGCUAUUAAAAAUGAUGCAGAAUUUUAACCAUCUGCUGCACCAGGUACUCCACACUGGUACUACGGAUCUGUGUUUUCGCAGAGGGAAGACCUGCAGAGCUUUCAAAUUGCAAAACUGCAUUUAAGCGUUUAAAUAUUUCAUGAAAUAGCACCCUUAAAGCCAGAUUCCUUUUAAUUGCGAAUUGAGAAAUAGGUUUUAGCAAAAUCGAAGCAUUUUCCAUCCUUAACGUGCUGCCAGGGAGGGGGGAGUUCUAAAAGGGGCACAGGUGUAUUGCUGAGGACAUGGUGCCGGCGCUGCAGAAAUGCUGUCACUGCAAGCACUGUAAGGCUCCAGAAACGGCCAGAGAUAGAAACUGAGUAUUUUGUAGCCUUGCGUUUUCUCCUAAGGGCUUUUGACUGAAGUGUGCGAGACAUAACUGCGUGUGGAGAGUCAUCUCUUGCACUUGACCAGCUGCUUGUGUACGUAUCGGAGCAAUAUUACCUAAUGAAUAACAUGGAGAUUGGAGAAGAAACCGGGCUGCCAACAUGGCCUCGUGAACUAUUGCCUGGCUUAGAAUGCAUUUCAUGGUCAGUGGAAAAAAAUGAGGAAGAGGAGGGUGUGGCUGCCGCUUAGAGAAUUUGGCUGUGCAGGCAGGGACUGGCUUUGGGGUUGUGAUCCUUCAACCUCAGAGAAAGAAGACUUCUCUUAGUGUCUCAGCCUGGAUGUAGCCCAGAUGUGUGAAAUACGCAGCAGCAGAAUUUGAGUUUUCAAGUGAAAUAGCUCUUCCUUGUCUGAACCAUCCUUCAGAAUGCAAUAUUAGAGGUUUCCUACCGCAUCAUCUUCAGGACUCCCAGAAAAUUCUUCUGCAACUUGUGGCUGCCUGGAAAAAGAUGAUGCAGUAGUCUGGCAAAAUGAACUCAAGAAACAAGAAGAAGACAGUAGAGGCUGAUCUGCAAGUUGUUCAGAGCACUCACAGCCAUCUAAGGAGCUGGGGAUAAAGCUGGCUCUUUCCUGACUUCCACUGGAGAAAAGUGAAAAGGCAACAUCUGAAGAAGGCACUGUCAAACUCCCAAUGAUCCCAGGAGAACUGAGUUAGAUCCUGGGAUCUGAGCAAGCCAGAGGUGAGGCUACCAUGAGGGUGAAACUCAUUCGAGUGCGAAGAGGUUCACUGAUAAGAUGCAAACCAGAAUCUGCCUGUUGGUAGUCUUUCCAGAUACGAUUCAGAGCUAAUAGGGGAGACUGAGAAGUACCAUGACUCCAAACAGAAUCAUUUUGAAUGGCACGAGAUGAACUAGCACAUUUCAGAAUAAGUUAAAUAGAGAACAAAGUAUUAUGUCGCUGGAUGACUAGAAGAAGAGGAGCUGAUUUCUGACCACAAAAGAAAAAUAAAGAAUUGCUAAGACUAUAGCUUUGAGUAAAAUAAGCCUGACUGUUUUAGUUCUAAGAGAAAUGACCUAGGGGGAGCCAAGUUACAAGAUGAACUAAUGAAGUUAGAAGAGGAAAGAAGUGAAGAUUGGUCAUCUAUGCAAAGAAAAUGACAAGAUGCUGGGAAAUAGGAAAGUCAGUGUUUUCAUAUGCCUGGUUUUUAAGUUCGUAAAGGGAGAGGUAAGUUUUUUUGGACAGUGGCCUCAAGUCUGCUUGCUCUGUUGGCUUUGUCUCCCAUGGAUCCUGGCCUCAUCCCAUUUUCCCAUUGGGAUCUGCCGAAUGUUGUUUCUGCCCUCAAGAGCUGGGAAGCACAGCUCAGGGUGAGAUCCUGUUGCUGCUGCUCCCACAGAUGUCCGUGUCACGCCUGGCAGCCAGCUUAGGCUGGGCAGAAAGCCCACCAGGGCCAGCACAGCAAAUCAACUGAUUAGGGGUGCCCCCUGAGCUGUAGUAUGAUGGGAUAAUAACAACAGAAAGAGAAAGCUGGUGCUGUGAAUGGCCCUCUGAGAAAAUAUACAGAGAAGCUGCUGUCUGCUUUUUCACUUGCUGUCACUCAACUUAUAAUUGUUUCAGUGUGCACUGAAAUGAAGUUGAAACAUGCGUUUUCUCUUUCUGCAUCCCCAUAUUGAUUUUGCUAAGAGCAGUGGAAGAUCCCAUCAGUUGUCCUGAAACAUGACCUACCUACUUUGGGCUCACACCUUUUCAAUCUCAAGUGGAUUUUGGCUGUCUGACAGCUCUGACCAAUGGCUGGGGAGGAAUCUGCAGUUGGCUGGGCUGAGAGGCUUUGCCAUUAACAGGAAGGCAUCCAGCAAUCCAAAUGUGCACCUGCUCCUGCUAGCUUCCAGAGCGAUGCUGUCUCCAGUUCUCUGAUAUAUUGCACUGCAAGCUCUUCCCAAAGCAAGAGAAGUCAGAGCAGGUCAGGCCUUGGAUGCUCCUUGGAAAUUUCACUGGCCGAUCAUCCACAUCUUAAACACCUUAUCUUUGGAGGUCUGGACUCUCAUGGGGCAUAAGACAGGAAUCUGAACUGAUGGCCAACAAGAAACUAUUCCAACAGUUGCAACAGUUUGCAGUGUCUCAAAGUGUUGCCCCAGAAAGUUGUGGCUCAGGUCUUCUGAGAUACCCGAUAUCCUCCAGAAUGGUAUUGAAGGAAUUAGAGCGAGUGAUGUAAUAUUUCAGGAAGGGGAGAUGUAUGUCCUCCUGGAAUCCACUUGUUCUCCACCUCUCUGUUUUCCAACCGAUUACAUAAUUCCUCAUGCUUGUGUCCUCACAGUAUGUGCUGCAAAUAGUGACAUCAAAGCCAAUAUAUUUUGCAAAUGCUAACAUUGCAGCAGGCAUUGCAGAAUAAUGACUUUAUCAAUCCCUACUUACGGUGUACUUUGAAUAUACUGUGUCAUUAAUAACAGAACAUCUGCCAAAACCUCUCACAGUCUGAACAUUACCUCCUAUUUUUUUCAAUAGUAUGAUAAUAUCUCAUCAGAAGAUCCUAUGUAUUUGCUAAGUGGAGUUUCACUCAGUUUAGUCUUUGAUUAUUGAUGAUGUGGAAAAGGUGAGCGGGGAACAACUGCGUGCUGCCUCAUGCAGUAAGAGACCCAGGGAAUGGCAGGUACAAAAUGCUCAAAAAGAGAUUUUUUCUUCACAAGCUGUUAUGAUUAAAAUGGUGGAGAUACUGCUUUCUGUUGAGUACACCGUGGUCCCCCUGGCAAGGUCAACAGCAGCAGCUUAAAGAGCAGUGUAAGAGAGAUGUGUUAAUGGCUACAGCAGGCAUAGCACUCUUGACGCAGCUCAGGAUGGCUCAUCCAAGGGUUAUAGGCUAAUUUUGAGAAGUGGCUUUUUCAUUUUAGUUUAAAAGUUGUAAAAGGCUUUGUGUGUGUUUAGGUGCUUUUCCUUUUGAUAUGGUUGUUUUGCAAUAGUGACUUGGCUGGAAAAGAGGGUUUUUGGAGAUGAACAUGGUGAAGAUAAAUCUCAAAGCUACUGCCAUUUGGGAGGCAUUCCUACUUUGUUUAGAAAAUAGACUUGCUGCUAAAAACUAAAAGCCAUCUCGAGUUGACAUCAGACAGCAAGGGGUGAAAGUGCCUUGUACAUUAUGCUUCCGUACCUGUAAGAAUUCAGGCACUUUUAUACAAGAGUCAUGAAGAUGUUCCUCUGGUUCUGUUCUUUCUGUCAGGAGCCUCUUGUUCGUGCACUUUGUUUGUACACUCAAUUACAACCAUUCCCUGGGACACAUAAUUCAAAUUCUGUAAUAGAAUGGAUGUACAAAGUCAUAGCUUAAACUGUAUUGCAGCAGCACUUCUUGCUGCUGUUAUGUACAGUUAAAUAAUAAAAGGUCAAAAUACUCUAAUAAUAAAAGGUCAAAAAUGCACUAACAUAAAAGAGGCAUUUGAUGUCUUUUUCUGUAGAAUGGGGAUGAUAUUCUUUGCUUAUAUUCCAAGACUUGCUGUAAAUUUAAGGACAGAAAAACUGGAGAUUUGCUUUAGUAUUGCUAAGAUGGAUUUUGAUGACUUUUGAUGACAAUUAACCAGUGAGAUACUGAUUAAUUAUCAAACAGCAACUGAAGGGGCUGAACCUUUUAUUCUUUCUGUUGCUGUACACCUAACAGUUGGAGGUGAAUGCAGCCUUUUGUUUCCUACACAACAAAAGGUUCAAAUAUAAACCACGCUACUGAUAAAAUAAGAACAGAAAUUAUGGGUCAGUUCUGAACUUUGAAAAUGCUCAUUUUUCUUUUGCUGGUAAAUCUAGAUUCUCAUCGCGGGGGAAAAACCCAAACUCUUAAUACAGCUUUAGUUUUCUACUUUAUAGCUACAAGCAGAAAACAGCCAUGAAUCAAUAACGGGGGCCUGUAAACACUCUUCUGGCUCUGUAGCCUACUUAAUGUCAACCAAGAGCUGCAGUAAACCACAAUUCCCCAGCUGCAAUAAAUGCUACAGGCUCCAGAGCAGAGCACAAAGUUUAAUUAAAAGUAAACUGAUACAUAUAAAUCCGCUGAUGCAAUCUCUCACUCUUGCAUCUGAAAUAUAUAUGGGCCUCUUCCUGGAGAUAUUGGAUGAUUUAGAUUUCAAUUUCACUUAAGAAGCCUCUCAAAUAAUACUAUCCAGUGAGUCUCUGUGCACACUGAAUAAACACAUCCUGUUAACUAAGUGUGUUGAUCUCCCUUUGCUUUAUAUGCCGAGUGUAACAGCUAUUGAGUUAUUUGGCUAAUUUGAGAGACUUGGCAACACUUUCCUGUGCUCUAAAUAGCCAGAUAUCUCUGAACUUUCAGGAGUAACUACAUUUGGCAGUUAAUAGAUGGCAGCACUGCUGUAAUAUAUUAUCUUUUGGCUAUAAGUAAGCUCAGCAGCUUUUGAGGAUGUCUCACUGGUGCUUCAGCAUCAGACAGACUCUGCUCAUGUUAGAUGUGUUUGACAAGAUGUUCUGUAGAUGUUUAAUGACAGCCCCCAGUUGAUUUGUGUCCUGAGUCUGUCCUGUCCAUUGCCUUUCUCCCCUCCCUGUGCACCGUGGCUGCCUUAUGGAAUCAGUAAAGUCUGAGUCAAACAGCCCCUUUGGAGAUCACCUGGUCCAAACCACAGUUGGAAACAGAGACUUAGGUUAGGUUAUCCUGGAUACUGUCAAGCAAAGUCUAGAAUAUUUUCAGUGAGAAAAGUGCACAUCUUUCUUAUCUGAGGAUGCAAUAGAGUCCUGUUCAUGCCUCAUGAACAGGAUGGUCUCUCUGGAGUAUGUAACCAUACAGAGUUUUUGCUGGUAUGCCAUCCAUUCAUGCAUUUAUAAACAAAAGUGAGACAUGGAGUCUUUGUGCCCAAAACUUUUCUUGAAUUGUUGCAUCUGUGGCCAAUAUGCAUCUGUCUGGAUCAGUAGAGAUAGAUCUUGCAUUCAUGAAUGUUGUAAGAAACCUCCUGAAGCUUAUUGAAUUAGGCGUAUCCCAGUCAGCUAUUGUUAGACUUUAAGAGACAUUUUGCAGUUAGAGGAGGCUUUUGAAAUAGAGAGAGAGAGAGA
Molecule: non-coding RNA, 6231 nt
Organism: Meleagris gallopavo (turkey)
Lineage: Eukaryota; Metazoa; Chordata; Aves; Galliformes; Phasianidae
Source: RefSeq, a predicted model, not a curated record